CAUUGUUAAGGGACUGCUAGUAAGAGAGAUCCUGGCUGUUAGGCCCUUGUCCCUCCCUGCCAUAUCAUAAUCAUCAUAACUGUCCUUAACUGUUUUUUUUUUUUCCUUCUUUAGACUUGGAAAUGUCAUUUUCUCUUGGAAGUUCUCAAAUAAUAUAACUAGAUACUGAAAAGGCAUUUCAAGUCAUUCACAAAACAAUCUGACAUGAUUAAGCUCUCAGAAUUGGAUCACAUUGCCCAGCUGUAUACUUUGCUGAGUGAGCUACACAGUGCAAUAGCUCCAGCUUUUUGGUCUUUUCUGCAUCACACAGCAUAUUUCAGAAAUUUAAUUUUGAUGCUUAUUGGAGCUUCCGAUCCUAUUCUGAAGGUUCAUGCCAUUAGCAGAAAAACAGACAAGAAAAAAAAAAAAAAGAGUUAAAUUCCAAGCACAGGUGGAUGAUGAAAAUUUAAGCUCUCCAAGUUGCCAGUGGGAAACUGUAAGAACAUUUCUGUGUGAGCACAGAGAAGGGUCUCAGUACAGACUCCUAUACUGGAACGUCUUGCAAGCGUGGUGGAGCUGUCUUAUCUGUCACACACCUGAGAUUGAAGGUCUUUUUGUGCUGGCUGUGCAAGACUCUUUGGAGUG
Long non-coding RNA from Lagopus leucura (white-tailed ptarmigan), 624 nucleotides. RefSeq lists it as uncharacterized. The record is from RefSeq and is a predicted model, not a curated record. The transcript is spliced from 4 exons. Lineage: Eukaryota; Metazoa; Chordata; Aves; Galliformes; Phasianidae.